RNAcentral lists this ribosomal RNA (394 nucleotides) under uncultured bacterium. RNAcentral describes it as "bacterial SSU rRNA". It matches the Rfam family "Bacterial small subunit ribosomal RNA", at positions 28 to 428 of the family's 1533-position model. The record is from RNAcentral.
GACGAACGCUGGCGGCGUGCUUAACACAUGCAAGUCGAACGAUGAAGCCCUUCGGGGUGGAUUAGUGGCGAACGGGUGAGUAACACGUGGGCAAUCUGCCCUUCACUCUGGGACAAGCCCUGGAAACGGGGUCUAAUACCGGAUGAUACUUCCACUCGCAUGGGUGGGGGUUGAAAGCUCCGGCGGUGAAGGAUGAGCCCGCGGCCUAUCAGCUUGUUGGUGAGGUAGUGGCUCACCAAGGCGACGACGGGUAGCCGGCCUGAGAGGGCGACCGGCCACACUGGGACUGAGACACGGCCCAGACUCCUACGGGAGGCAGCAGUGGGGAAUAUUGCACAAUGGGCGAAAGCCUGAUGCAGCGACGCCGCGUGAGGGAUGACGGCCUCGGUUGUAA